UUAACCGAAUAGGGGAGCCGAAGGGAAACCGAGUCUUAACUGGGCGUUAAGUUGCAGGGUAUAGACCCGAAACCCGGUGAUCUAGCCAUGGGCAGGUUGAAGGUUGGGUAACACUAACUGGAGGACCGAACCGACUAAUGUUGAAAAAUUAGCGGAUGACUUGUGGCUGGGGGUGAAAGGCCAAUCAAACCGGGAGAUAGCUGGUUCUCCCCGAAAGCUAUUUAGGUAGCGCCUCGUGAAUUCAUCUCCGGGGGUAGAGCACUGUUUCGGCAAGGGGGUCAUCCCGACUUACCAACCCGAUGCAAACUGCGAAUACCGGAGAAUGUUAUCACGGGAGACACACGGCGGGUGCUAACGUCCGUCGUGAAGAGGGAAACAACCCAGACCGCCAGCUAAGGUCCCAAAGUCAUGGUUAAGUGGGAAACGAUGUGGGAAGGCCCAGACAGCCAGGAUGUUGGCUUAGAAGCAGCCAUCAUUUAAAGAAAGCGUAAUAGCUCACUGGUCGAGUCGGCCUGCGCGGAAGAUGUAACGGGGCUAAACCAUGCACCGAAGCUGCGGCAGCGACACUGUGUGUUGUUGGGUAGGGGAGCGU
Molecule: ribosomal RNA, 592 nt
Filed under: Escherichia coli
Lineage: Bacteria; Pseudomonadati; Pseudomonadota; Gammaproteobacteria; Enterobacterales; Enterobacteriaceae
Description: partial 23S ribosomal RNA
Rfam family: Bacterial large subunit ribosomal RNA
Source: RNAcentral